GGAGGUAGUGACAAUAAAUCACAAUGCGGGACUGUUAGUCUUGCAAUUGGAUUGAGAACAACGUACAACUCUUAUCGAUAAGCCAUUGGAGGGCAAGUCUGGUGCCAGCAGCCGCGGUAAUUCCAGCUCCAAUAGCGUAUAUUAACGUUGUUGCAGUUAAAAAGCUCGUAGUUGAAGUGAGGGAGUGUGUGGGUAUGAGAGCUAGUCUCAAGUACUUACAACCUCCCCCUUCCAAUCGGUGUAGUGGGGUAUUCACUUAUUCCACUACUCCUUUGGUCGUUUACUGUGAGAAAAUUAGAGUGUUCAAAGCGGGCGUUUGUUUGAAUAGAUUAGCAUGGAAUAAUGAUUGAAGGCUUUCGUGUUCGAUUUGAUUGGUUUGUUCAUGGAAGCAAGGUUAAAAGGAACAGUUGGGGGUAUUCAUAUUCACUAGUUAGAGGUGAAAUUCUCGGAUUUAUGGAAGAUGAACAAGUGCGAAAGCA
Molecule: ribosomal RNA, 479 nt
Filed under: Blastocystis sp.
Lineage: Eukaryota; Bigyra; Opalinata; Blastocystidae
Description: SSU rRNA
Rfam family: Eukaryotic small subunit ribosomal RNA
Source: RNAcentral